CCUACGGGUGGCAGCAAUUAGGAAUCUUGCGCAAUGGGCGAAAGCCUGACGCAGCGACGCCGCGUGACUGAUGACGUCUUUCGGGAUGUAAAGGUCUUUUGCAGGGGAAGAAGAAUGUGACGGUACCCUGCGAAUAAGCUCCGGCUAACUACGUGCCAGCAGCCGCGGUAAUACGUAGGGAGCGAGCGUUGUCCGAAUUCACUGGGCGUAAAGCGCGCGUAGGCGGGUUAUUAAGUUGGUGGUGAAAUCCCGGAGCUCAACUUCGGAACUGCCGUCAAAACUGGUAGCCUUGAGGUAUGGAGAGGGAAUUGGAAUUCCUGGUGUAGCGGUGAAAUGCGUAGAUAUCAGGAGGAACACCCAUGGCGAAGGCAGAUUCCUGGCCAUAUCCUGACGCUGAGGUGCGAAAGCCAGGGUAGCGAACG
RNAcentral lists this ribosomal RNA (422 nucleotides) under uncultured prokaryote. RNAcentral's name for it is "bacterial SSU rRNA". It matches the Rfam family "Bacterial small subunit ribosomal RNA", at positions 338 to 774 of the family's 1533-position model. The record is from RNAcentral.